UUGCUACCACACUCAUCCAUGUGU
Molecule: non-coding RNA, 24 nt
Filed under: Arabidopsis thaliana (thale cress)
Lineage: Eukaryota; Viridiplantae; Streptophyta; Magnoliopsida; Brassicales; Brassicaceae
Source: RNAcentral